This 213-nucleotide unclassified non-coding RNA is filed under the name Hevea brasiliensis (rubber tree). The record is from RNAcentral. Lineage: Eukaryota; Viridiplantae; Streptophyta; Magnoliopsida; Malpighiales; Euphorbiaceae.
AAAGCGAGAGGAAUUAGAAAUGGCGGAUCAACUCACAGAUGACCAGAUCUCCGAGUUCAAGGAAGCCUUCAGCUUAUUCGAUAAAGAUGGAGACGGUUGCAUUACCACAAAGGAGCUUGGUACUGUGAUGAGAUCGCUGGGACAGAACCCCACUGAGGCGGAACUCCAGGACAUGAUUAACGAAGUUGAUGCUGAUGGGAAUGGAACUAUUGA